UGAGGAAUAUUGGUCAAUGGGCGGAAGCCUGAACCAGCCAUCCCGCGUGAAGGAAGACAGCCUUACGGGUUGUAAACUUCUUUUCUGUCAGAAGAAUAAGCUUGUCGAGACGAGUGAUGCCGGUAUGACAGGAAUAAGCAUCGGCUAACUCCGUGCCAGCAGCCGCGGUAAUACGGAGGAUGCAAGCGUUAUCCGGAUUUAUUGGGUUUAAAGGGUGCGCAGGUUGUUUGAUAAGUCAGUGGUGAAAGUCUGUCGCUUAACGGUAGGAUUGCCAUUGAUACUGUUGGACUUGAAUAUGGAUGAGGUAGGCGGAAUGUGUAGUGUAGCGGUGAAAUGCAUAGAUAUUACACAGAACACCGAUUGCGAAGGCAGCUUACUAAUCCAUCAUUGACGCUGAGGC
RNAcentral lists this ribosomal RNA (400 nucleotides) under uncultured bacterium. RNAcentral's name for it is "bacterial SSU rRNA". It matches the Rfam family "Bacterial small subunit ribosomal RNA", at positions 355 to 752 of the family's 1533-position model. The record is from RNAcentral.